AGUGAACGCUGGCGGUAGGCCUAACGCAUGCAAGUCGAACGGCAGCACAGGAGAGCUUGCUCUCUGGGUGGCGAGUGGCGGACGGGUGAGGAAUACAUCGGAAUCUACUCUGUCGUGGGGGAUAACGUAGGGAAACUUACGCUAAUACCGCAUACGACCUACGGGUGAAAGCAGGGGACCUUCGGGCCUUGCGCGAUUGAAUGAGCCGAUGUCGGAUUAGCUAGUUGGCGGGGUAAAGGCCCACCAAGGGGACGAUACGUAGCUGGUCUGGGUGGAUGAUCAGCCACCCGGGAACUGCGACACGGUCCAGACUCCUACGGGGGGCAGCAGUGGGGAAUAUUGGACAAUGGGCGCAAGCCUGAUCCAGCCAUACCGCGUGGGUGCAGAAGGCCUUCGGGUUGUAAAGCCCUUUUGUUGGGAAAGAAAUCCAGCUGGCUAAUACCCGGUUGGGAUGACGGUACCCAAAGAAUAAGCACCGGCUAACUUCGUGCCAGCCGCCGCCGUAA
Molecule: ribosomal RNA, 506 nt
Filed under: uncultured bacterium
Lineage: Bacteria
Description: partial 16S ribosomal RNA
Rfam family: Bacterial small subunit ribosomal RNA
Source: RNAcentral